Molecule: ribosomal RNA, 253 nt
Filed under: uncultured bacterium
Lineage: Bacteria
Description: partial 16S ribosomal RNA
Rfam family: Bacterial small subunit ribosomal RNA
Source: RNAcentral
UACGUAGGGUGCAAGCGUUGUCCGGAAUUAUUGGGCGUAAAGAGCUCGUAGGCGGUUUGUCGCGUCUGCUGUGAAAACCCGAGGCUUAACCUCGGGCCUGCAGUGGGUACGGGCAGACUAGAGUGCGGUAGGGGAGAUUGGAAUUCCUGGUGUAGCGGUGGAAUGCGCAGAUAUCAGGAGGAACACCAAUGGCGAAGGCAGAUCUCUGGGCCGUAACUGACGCUGAGGAGCGAAAGCAUGGGGAGCGAACAGG